GACGAACGCUGGCGGCGUGCUUAACACAUGCAAGUCGAACGGAAAGGCCUGCUUUCCCUUGUGGAUUGCGGGUACUCGAGUGGCGAACGGGUGAGUAACACGUGAGUGAUCUGCCCCCAACUUGGGUAUAAGCCUGGGAAACUGGGUCUAAUUCCCGAUAGGACUGCAGGGUGGUGCCUGUGGUGGAAAACGAUUUUCUUGUGGUUGGGGAUGAGCUCGCGGCCUAUCAGCUUGUUGGUGGGGUAAUGGCCUACCAAGGCGGCGACGGGUAGCCGGCCUGAGAGGGUGGACGGCAAAAUUGGGACUGAGAUACGGCCAAGACUCGUACGGGAGGAAGCAGUGGGGAAUAAUGCAGAAUGGGCGGAAGACUGAUGCAGCGACGCCGCGUGGGGGAUGACGGGCUUCGGGUUGUAAACUACUUUCGACCGAGAGGAAGCCACCUGGUUGGAAGGGUGGUGACGGUAGUGGUAGAAGAAGCACCGGCUAACUACGUG
Molecule: ribosomal RNA, 494 nt
Filed under: uncultured bacterium
Lineage: Bacteria
Description: partial 16S ribosomal RNA
Rfam family: Bacterial small subunit ribosomal RNA
Source: RNAcentral